RNAcentral lists this ribosomal RNA (989 nucleotides) under uncultured bacterium. RNAcentral describes it as "bacterial SSU rRNA". It matches the Rfam family "Bacterial small subunit ribosomal RNA", at positions 505 to 1501 of the family's 1533-position model. The record is from RNAcentral.
GUGUCAGCCGCCGCGGUAACACGUAGGAGGCGAACGUUAUCCGGAUUUACUGGGCGUAAAGCGCGUGUAGGUGGUUUGGUAAGUAGGGCGUGAAAGCUCCUGGCUCAACUGGGAGAGGCCGUUCUAAACUGCCGAACUAGAGGAUGGUAGAGGGAGGUGGAAUUCCGGGUGUAGCGGUGGAAUGCGCAGAUAUCCGGAGGAACACCAGUGGCGAAAGCGGCCUCCUGGACCAUUCCUGACACUCAGACGCGAAAGCUAGGGUAGCAAACGGGAUUAGAGACCCCGGUAGUCCUAGCCCUAAACGAUGUAGACUAGGCGUCGGUGGUUUAAACGCCAUCGGUGUCCAAGCUAACGCGAUAAGUCUACCGCCUGGGGACUACGGCCGCAAGGUUAAAACUCAAAGGAAUUGACGGGUCCCCGCACAAGCAGCGGAGCGUGUGGUUUAAUUCGUCGCUACACGAAGAACCUUACCUGGGUUUGACAUAGCAGUGGUAGGGAAGCGAAAGCAGACCGACCCUUCGGGGAGCUGUUACAGGUGUUGCAUGGCUGUCGUCAGCUCGUGUCGUGAGAUGUUCGGUUAAGUCCGCUAACGAGCGCAACCCUCGCUGUGUGUUACAAGUGUCACACGGUACUGCCGGUAUUAAGUCGGAGGAAGGUGGGGAUGACGUCAAGUCAGCAUGACCUUUAUAUCCAGGGCUACACACACGCUACAAUGGUCAGUACAAUAGGUUGCCAAGCCGCGAGGCGGAGCCAAUCCUAAAAAGCUGGCCUCAGUUCAGAUUGCAGUCUGCAACUCGACUGCAUGAAGUUGGAGUUGCUAGUAACCGCAGGUCAGCUAUACUGCGGUGAAUACGUUCCCGGGGAUUGUACACACCGCCCGUCAAGUCAUGGGAGCUGGCAACACCUGAAGCCCGGUAUCCUAACCCGCAAGGGGAGGGAGCUGUCAAAGGUGGGGUCGGUGACUGGGACUAAGUCGUAACAAGGUAGCC